UAGGGAAUCUUCGGCAAUGGGGGGAACCCUGACCGAGCAACGCCGCGUGAGUGAAGAAGGUUUUCGGAUCGUAAAGCUCUGUUGUUAAGGAAGAACGAGUGUGAGAAUGGAAAGUUCAUGCUGUGACGGUACUUAACCAGAAAGGGACGGCUAACUACGUGCCAGCAGCCGCGGUAAUACGUAGGGUGCGAGCGUUGUCCGGAAUUACUGGGCGUAAAGAGCUCGUAGGCGGUUUGUCACGUCGUCUGUGAAAUCCUAGGGCUUAACCCUGGACGUGCAGGCGAUACGGGCUGACUUGAGUACUACAGGGGAGACUGGAAUUUCUGGUGUAGCGGUGGAAUGCACAGAUAUCAGGAAGAACACCGAUGGCGAAGGCAGGUCUCUGGGUAGUAACUGACGCUGAGGAGCGAAAGCAUGGGUAGCGAACAGG
RNAcentral lists this ribosomal RNA (430 nucleotides) under Verrucomicrobiota bacterium. RNAcentral describes it as "Verrucomicrobia bacterium partial 16S ribosomal RNA". It matches the Rfam family "Bacterial small subunit ribosomal RNA", at positions 355 to 776 of the family's 1533-position model. The record is from RNAcentral. Lineage: Bacteria; Pseudomonadati; Verrucomicrobiota.